CACCACACCCUUGAGACGCUGCAGGACUGUGUUCAGAAGUGUAACGGCGGUGCCAUGGGUGUGGACCUAUAAAUCUAGCGGAUCUCCGCUGUUCACAGCAGUCUGACUAGAGUGUAACGGUCAUCUACUUGACCUCAGCUACAGCAAGAAAGAUGAACAAAAUCAUUUUCGGCUUCUCUGCAGUCGUUCUGUAUUUGGCAGCAGUUCAGGCCCUGGAGUGUUAUGACUGUAAACUGGGAUUCGGGAGUCUUUGCUUCACAACCAAAACGACAUGUGAUGCUGGUCAGCAGUGCUUCAGUGGAUUAGGGACGGCUGCUGGUGUUGUGGAUAUUAAGAUGAAAGGAUGUCUCGAAGUGUCCAAAUGCAAUAAAACUGAACAGGUGAAUUUCCCGUCCAACUCAAGCACACAGAUAUACAAGAUGACGAAGACAUGCUGUUCUACUGACCUGUGUAACUCAGCUCUGGGUCACUUCUCUGCUGUCAGCAUGGCCUUCACUACCAUCACUUCUGUGUUCAUGCUCAAAUUCCUCAUUUGAGGAGGAUUAUUUCAUCUCACACACACACACACACACACGCACACACACACAAACACAUACACACACACACACACACACUUUUGUUUUUGUGAAUUGUGGGGACAUUCCAUAGGUGUAAUGGUUUUUAUACUGUACAAACCGUAUUUUCUAUCCCCCUACACUACCCCUACCCCUAAACCUACCCAUCACAGGAAACUGUGCACACUUUUACUUUCUCACAAAAACUCAUUCUGUAUGAUUAAUAAGCCUUUUGAAAAAUGGGGACAUGGGGUAAUGUCCUCAUAAGUCACCUCUUCUUGUAAUACCUAUGUCAUACCCAUGUCAUUAUACACAUUUGUGUCCUGAUAUGUCACAAAAACGCGGGCACACACACACUUCAAAGACACUUAUGACAACUUCUAGAUGUUGUAGCCCAUCAAGGUGGUGUUUCAUAUCAAAUUACUCCUAGUUUAAUGAGUCACACUUUGGUGGACAUCACCAUCUCAUAGAAGGCAUUGUAUGUGUUGUGUUAUAGUGUCCUUAUAUUCGUGUCUGAAUGGAAAGCGGUGAUAUUUGAAUGUGACUGUAAACUGUAUUUAAUAAACAACAUGAGACAGUG
Ctenopharyngodon idella (grass carp) is the source of this 1134-nucleotide long non-coding RNA. RefSeq lists it as uncharacterized. The record is from RefSeq and is a predicted model, not a curated record. The transcript has 3 exons. NCBI's taxonomy places the organism in Eukaryota, Metazoa, Chordata, Actinopteri, Cypriniformes, Xenocyprididae.